AUGGCAUCUUCAAAGGUUUGCAAGGAAAGAUUUGAUGCUGCUGUCACAUAUCUGGGUGCUAUUGGAAUUCAGAGAGAAACUGUUUCACCAGUGUUGGCGAAUCUACUAGAGUUGUAUGAUCACAACUGGGAGUUUAUAGAAGCUGAUGACUUUCGGGUUCUAACCGAUGCCAUAUUCGACGGGCCAGAUCCCAAAGAAGAACAGCAAAUGCAAGCUAACAAGAUGAAGAAUCUUGAUUCGGAUCACUGUAAAAAGAAGCUUAAGAUAAAACAUCAUUCUCGAAAACCUACAUCCAAGGUGCGCGUCAAUGAGAAGACAGAGUUGGCUGAAGCUCCACUGCAGCAAGAAGCAGGCAAGCUGUGCCCUCAAACUGUUUGUGCCACUGGGAACACAUUGCAGUUGUCUUCUUCGCAACUGCCGAUUGAAGAAACAAACAUGGAAAUCAAUGUUCUCAAGGAUACAUUGACAGAUGAAGAUAGUUCAGCUUUAUCACUCCAAGGUCAAGAGCUUCCUACUUUCGAGACCCCACUGGCAGUUAUGUGCCCACUAGUUCAAGAUUCCAGCCAUCAGAGAGCAUACAAUGACGUGCACAACAAGUCUAUCAUUGAAUUGGACUAUACAUAUAGUGAACCAAGAGAAAGUGGAAUGCUACAAAUAGUUCCUGCCAUGGAUUUUUUAUCUAAGCCUUCAGUGCCAAAUCAAGCUGGUUCCUCGUGUAUGCCACCUAAUAAUAGCAUGAUCCAUGGUGGUAUUUGCCCCUCUACUGCUACUGCUGAAGAACAGAGCAGUUCCAGUAAUAUGCUGGUUAUUGCCAAGCCCAAGGGACCAGCUCAUGAUGUCAAUGACAUAACAAAAGGUGAAGAACAUGUGAGAAUUCCCAUAAUCAAUGAAGGUGGCAAUGGGAUUCUUCCUCCUCCCUUUCACUAUAUACCACGCAAUAUCACAUUCCAGAAUGCAUAUGUGAAUCUUUCGCUUGCUAGAAUAGGAGAUGACAAUUGCUGCUCAGACUGCUUUGGAGACUGCCUAGCAGAACCAAUUCCUUGUGCAUGCGCAGCAGAAACUGGAGGCGACUUUGCUUAUACAAGAGACGGCCUGCUUAAGGAAGAAUUUCUCAAUUCUUGUCUCUCCGUGCUUCCAAAAUUCUACUGCAAAAUUUGUUCAAGGGAACGAGUGAAGAUUGUAAAUUCUGAGUCACCAAACGCCAAGGUGAAUCCUUGUAAAGGACACCCUAUAAGAAAAUUUAUUAAGGAAUGCUGGAGUAAAUGUGGCUGCACCAGAAAUUGUGGAAAUCGUGUGGUGCAGCGAGGCAUUACUCAAAAUCUACAGGUUUUCUUAACCCCUGGAGAAAAAGGAUGGGGAGUGCGGGCUGCUGAGGAACUUCCUCGGGGCGCAUUUAUUUGUGAGUAUGUUGGUGAAAUAUUAACAAACAGUGAGCUGUAUGAGCGAAACAAUCAAAUGGCGUCAAAAGGUAAGCAUACCUACCCUACGUUGCUUGAUGCUGACUGGGUCACUGAAGAUGUUCUGGAGGACGACCAUGCUCUCUGUCUGGAUGGCACCUUUUAUGGGAACGUGGCAAGGUUCAUAAACCAUAGGUGUUCUGAUGCCAAUCUUAUUGUUAUACCUGUUGAGAUUGAGACACCCGACCACCACUACUACCAUCCGGCGUUUUUCACCACAAGGCAAAUAAAGCCAUUUGAAGAACUUACAUGGGACUAUGGACUUGACUUUGACGAUGUCAACCACCCUGUUGAGGCAUCCAAAUGUUGUUGCGGAAGCGAGUUUUGCCAGGACAAAAGGAACAUCUGA
Molecule: ribosomal RNA, 1806 nt
Filed under: Triticum aestivum (bread wheat)
Lineage: Eukaryota; Viridiplantae; Streptophyta; Magnoliopsida; Poales; Poaceae
Description: partial small subunit ribosomal RNA
Source: RNAcentral